CCGCCUACGGGACGCAGCAGUGGGGGAUGUUGCACGAUGGGGGGAACCCUGAUGCAGCGACGCCGCGUGGGUGAAGAAGCGCCUCGGCGCGUAAAGCCCUGUCAGCAGGGAAGAAAAUGACGGUACCUGAAGAAGAAGCCCCGGCUAACUACGUGCCAGCAGCCGCGGUAAUACGUAGGGGGCAAGCGUUAUCCGGAUUUACUGGGUGUAAAGGGGGCGCAGACGGCGAUGCAAGCCAGGGGUGAAAGCCCGGGGCCCAACCCCGGGACUGCCCUUGGAACUGCAUGGCUGGAGUGCGGGAGGGG
RNAcentral lists this ribosomal RNA (305 nucleotides) under uncultured bacterium. Its description in RNAcentral is "bacterial SSU rRNA". It matches the Rfam family "Bacterial small subunit ribosomal RNA", at positions 335 to 657 of the family's 1533-position model. The record is from RNAcentral.